CCUACGGGUGGCAGCAGUGGGGAAUAUUGGGCAAUGGGCGCAAGCCUGACCCAGCAACGCCGCGUGCAGGAAGAAGGCUUUCGGGUUGUAAACUUCUUUUCUGAGGGACGAAGAAAGUGACGGUACCUCAGGAAUAAGCCACUGCUAACUACGUGCCAGCAGCCGCGGUAAUACGUAGGUGGCAAGCGUUAUCCGGAUUUAUUGGGUGUAAAGGGCGUGUAGGCGGGAAAGCAAGUCAGAUGUGAAAACUCAGGGCUCAACCCUGAGCCUGCAUUUGAAACUGUUUGUCUUGAGUGCUGGAGAGGCUAUCGGAAUUCCGUGUGUAGCGGUGAAAUGCGUAGAUAUACGGAGGAACACCAGUGGCGAAGGCGGAUUGCUGGACAGUAACUGACGCUGAGGCGCGAAAGCGUGGGGAGCAAACACGAUUAGAUACCCUAGUAGUC
This 443-nucleotide ribosomal RNA is filed under the name uncultured bacterium. RNAcentral describes it as "partial 16S ribosomal RNA". It matches the Rfam family "Bacterial small subunit ribosomal RNA", at positions 338 to 795 of the family's 1533-position model. The record is from RNAcentral.